AUGACUGGGGGUGUAGCUCACUGGUAGAGCACCUCUGGGUUAAACCCCAGUGACAGCACUCCUGCUGCUGUAUACAUGGUGGCGACACCCAGUUUUGAGUUUUGUCCAUUUUAGUUGAGAGAAAUAAUAUUCAAUGAAGGCUGAUGACUUAUUUCCUAUGAUCCAGUGCUUCCUGGUUCCCACAAAAGGAGCUUUUCUGUCCUCACUAGAGUCAAACCUAGCAGCUCAGGAGGAGCUAAUGUUAGGGUCAGGCUGCCUCACUGUCCAAGGAUAAAGAGAAAGUUGAAUUGGACGUUCUGGGCAUGAAGGCAUGGGCUCACAUUAUUUAAAAAUCCUUGAGGUGCUGUGUAGUGUGAUUGGAGCACAGGCUGUGGUGGAAAGCUUCACACUUCUAGUCACACUUGUAGUGUCUGUAAGCAAUUUUAAGUGUUGUUUUUUUUUUUUUUUCUGGAAUAAAGAAAGGUCAAUUGGUGUUUCCCUAGAAAAGAUUACUUCACAGGGAGCAGCUACUGCUCAGAGAACUUGAUCUUGUCACACCUGAUACCUGCAUCUUUGAAGCAUCUGCAUCCACUUCUAGAUGGCUUUAGACCAUUUACUUCUGGACCCUUGAAGCUGUGUAGUCCUAUGACUACAUAAGGACCUUCCCAGGUCACUUUCUUGUUUAUCAAAGCCCUUGAGAUACUGUCCUUGAGGGGAGACCCAGUCAAGAUGAUAUUUUCCUUAUCUGAAUUGGGAAACUAUCAGAAAUGAUCCCUCUAUAAAAGCAUUGUAUACAGGAAAACUUUGCUAAAAAAAAAAAGAAGAAAAGAAUAUCACAGCAUUUGUGCUAGAGGUGAAGGCAAACUUAUAAGGUGGAUUCACCAAUCAGAACAAACAGCAGAGGCUGAGCUCUUGCUGCCAUUAUGAUCUUGUGCAGUCUACAGCAGAGGCCCUGUAGGAGCCGUGACUGGAGUAAGGAUCAGCCCAGGGAGCCCUGGCCCUGUUGUCCUGAGUGUGCUCUGCAAGGGCAUUACCUGAAGGAUCUUGUUUUUUGUAGAAGCCCUCUUAGCCCCAUUUUCAUAUGCUAUAAAGAUCUUCAUUAUUUGAUAUAUCCUUUCUUGACAGCUCUCCUAGUGCCUCCCAAAGUGGAUCUGGAGUAAUGGAGACUGUUAGCUUUCUGUUGCUCUAAAAUACCUGACAAGAACAACUUGGAGGGAAAAGUUUAUUUUCGGCUUAUGGUUUCAAAGGUUUAGGCCAUGGUCAGCUGGCUCCAUUGCUCUGGUCUGAAGGUGAGUCAGAGCAUCAUGGCAGAAGGGCAUGGUGGAGGAAAGCUGCUUAUCUCAUGGCAGCUGGGAAGCAGAGUGUGUGAGGAGCCAGGAACAAAACGUAUACUCCAAAGGCAUACCCCCAGUAACCUAACUUCCUCUAGCCAGGCCCUGCCUGCCUACAGUUACCACCAUUUGUCCAAAUUAUCAAUUCAUCAAAUAGAUUAAUCCACUGAUUAGGUUCAAGCUCUCAUUAUCUGAUCAUUUUACUUCUUGCAUUAACACAGGAGCUUUUGGGGACAUUUUGUAUCCAAACUACAACAGGGCUUUUAAGCCCUGGGCCAGGUGGGCCACGGGCUUGGAAGGGCAGACCUGUCCAGGGUGAUGCUGCUGCACGCAGCAUGCCUGCCUCUCUGAGACAGUUCUGCUCUUGCACCGUUAACUUAUACCUUUAGGAGAUGCCAGCUUGAACAUUUGCCUAUUGAAAACUACAUUCUACAACUUUAGGAUUUCUUAUUUCUCUCUCUCUCUCUCUUUUUUUUUCCUUUGGUACUAGGGAUUGAAUGUAGGGUCUCACUAGGCAAGUGCCGUAUCGCUGAGCUACACCUGUGUGCCACUUUAUGGCCCACACAGCUGACUGGGGGAAGGCCAAUUCCAGACCUUUUCCUUCCACCUCUCCUUGCACAUACAAAAUCCUCCCAGCUAAGCAGGCUGAGAAGAGAAAGUGACAGAAAGCAGGAGGUGGCUGUGACAGAGUGGACCUGGUGGCUCGAUUAUGAUGUCAGCCUCCUCCUCCUGUGAGCCAAGGGAGGCAGGGACUGAAGGACUGAACCCUAUGCUCCUUUAUUUUGAGACAGGGUCAUGCUUAGUUGCCCAGACUGGCCUCAAACUUAAAAUUUUCCCGCUUCAACCUCCUGAGUAGCUGGGAUUACAGGUGUACAGCACCACAUCUGCCUCCUUUGGGGUUUCUGUGACUCAAUUUGACAACUUAGCUUAAGGGGUCCAUUUGGUCUUUAGCUCUGCCCUGUUCAGCUGUGUGUCCUUGGGCAAUUUUUUUAAACCCCUCACAUCUGUCAAGUUGAGGAAUUUAAAUCUUGAAGAGUUCCAAUCUUGAAGAGCUGGUUGGUAAAUUGAAUAAGUUGAUGAACAUAGUUAUUUGAACAACACCUGGCACAAGUAAGAACCUAGUAAUGGCUGCUACUGAAGUAAUUGUCAUCCUUUUGCUCAUGUUUUCAAUUUGUUUCAGGAACAGGUGAAAAAUAAUUUGCUUUGCAUUUGUUUGUGGUAUGUCCUGGACUUUGUGCUCUACCCGGAGCCGCUCAAACGAUUAGUUCUUGCAGGAAAGUCACCUUUAAGCUGUUUACCCAUCCACCACCCCAGUUUCAGGCGUUCUCUGAGUUACUUUCUUUAGGUCAAUUUGGUUUUGGUUUGUGGUACUAGAGAUUGAGCCAGGGGUGCUCUACCACUGAGCUACAUCCCCAGCUCUUUUCUAUUUAAGAAAUUUUUUUUAGUUGUAGAUGGACAAAGUACCUUUAUUUUAUUUCUUUAUUUUUAUGUGGUACUGAGGAUUGAACCUGUUGCCUCAUGCAUGCUAGGCAAGCACUCUACCACUGAGCCACAAUCCCAGCCCAGCUCUUUUCUAUUUUAAAAUAGGAUCUCAUGAAGUUGCCAAGGCUGGCCUUGAAGUUGAGAUCCUCCUGACUCAACCUACCAAGUAGCUGGAUUGCAGGUGUGCACAAAUGCACCCGGCUUUGGGGCUGUUUUAGUGACAUGCUUGUAUCAGUCUAACAUUCAUUACUUCAUUGGAUCCUUACACCAGCCCUUGUUCAUUUUACAGAUAGAAAAAGCAGACAUGAAGAAUCAUUUCCCCAAGAGAAAAGCCACACAGAUGGACAGUGGUGGGAGCAGCCACUGUUGGGGUUUGGACCCUCAGGGGCUGGGCUGAGAGUGCUGAGCACAGUCUAGAGCCUAAUGCUGACUCACCCUUAGAAAGCCCCAUGCUCACUCUCCUGUCUUCUAACACUUCUAACUUCUGAUGAUAUAUAGGAAGAGGGGAAAGAAAAGCUUUAUGCCAUUUGGUGCCCAGAUAUCUCCUGUUGGUGCCAUCUAAUGCUUAAUGGAAGGCAGCCAGAGCUCAAGAAGAGGUCAGGAUCAGCAGCUCUGUUCAGCCCACUCGGAUCUGGAUCUGGAGUGCAGGAGCUGUAGGUUUCAGGAAUUAUCCUGCAUCUAACAGUGAAAUGGCUUCUGGGACAUGUUAAUAAACUUAGGCAUUUGGUUGACCCACUUUGAGGCUUUCUUGUAUGCUUGCUUGCUUGUAUUUACAUGUGGUGGUGGGGUUGAGCAGCAGGGAGUGGUUUCAGUGGGAAGGGGAAGAACCUCCACAGCCCCACCACUGAGAAUGGAACCCAGGGGCUCUCUACCAUUGAGCUGCAAUCUUAGCCUUUUUUUUUUUUUUGAGGUAGGGUUUUGCUAAGUUGCUAAAGAUCUUGCUGAGUUGCCCAAGCUGGUCUCCACCUUGUGAUCCUCCUGCCUCAGCCUCCCAGGUUGCUGGGAUUACAGGUGUGUGCUACCAUGCCAAAUACCUUCCAGGUCAUAGGCCACAUCACAUAAAAAAAAUUGAGGACAUGUCAGGUCUGAGUAGCAGAGCAAGAAGAGAUUUACUAUAAAGGGAAAGUACAUACUUGAGACUGGGAGUGUGGGUGAGCUUGGAGAGAGAGAGUCCUACUAUCUUAGUCUGGGGUUCCCUAUUUUUUAGUGGCACAUUAUAAUUAUGCAUAAUAGUAGGCUUUAUUGUUAUGUAUUCAUUUGAUCUGAUUCUAACAUUUAUGGAGUAGGUGGAGGCUGAACUAGAGGUGGAGUCAGGGUGAUACAAUUUUGUGUCCAUUUUCCUUGGGGUCUCUCCUUGCCCUUGCAUAUUUUAAUCAUGGUACUUCCUACAUUGCAUUUGUCAAUAGCAUCUUAAAUCUCUACCCAGGGUUGUGCCCUUCAUGAUUAUAAUGAAGGUUGGGUCAUUUCUUGGUCACCAAAGUCUCUAAUGCACAUUCCCAGUAGAGGAAUGGCUCCUGUAGGUGCCUUUUGGUUGUCCUGUGGUCUUGUUUUUCUAUCAGUCACCAAGUUGUGGGCAAGGACACAGGUGAAAGGACUGGGGCAGGAUUGCUCUUGAGUUGUUAAUUUUGCAUUCCAAGAAUUUGUGGGUGAUUCUCUUUUGAGAUUCAGUGUCCCUAAAUUUCUAUCUUAGACUGACGUUUUUGUUUUUUUUGGCGCCAGGGAUUGAACUCAGGGGCACUUAACCACUGAGCCAUAUCCCCAGCCCUAUUUUGUAUUUAGAGACAGGGUCUCACUGAAUUGCUUAGCACCACACUUUUGCUAAGCCUGUCUUUGAACUAGCGAUCUUCCUUCCCCAGCCUCCCGAGCUGCUGGGAUUACAGGCAUGAGCCACUGCACCCAGGCAUACCAAGGUUUUUGAUAUAGAAUAUUGACCAGGAAGUGAUGGGAGAUACUGACAUAUGUGAUAUUGUGAAAUAUGUAUCUGACCUUUAUUCCUCUUUGCUGGUAUGUAACUCCUAAAAUCCUUAGACUCUCCAAAGUGAUAUGACUUGGGAGCAUGGUGGGGCAUACCUGUCAUCCUAGUGACUCAGGAGGCUGAGGCAGGAGGAUCUCAAGUUUGAGGUUAGCUUUGUCAAUGUAUCAAGAUUCCAUCUCAAAAUACAAAGGACUGGGGGUGGGGUGUGACUCAGUGAUAAAGCACCCUAGGGUUCAAACCCUAGUACCACAAAAACAAAACAAAAAAAUGUCUUUUUGUAUAUUAAUGAGUUGACUGGUGGUGGGCAGUUCCUAAAAAGCUUCAGAGUGGGGAAUAGUCCCCCCAAAAAGCAAAGCAGGAUUAGAGGGUUAGGACUUUCAGUACCACUCAAGAGCUGGGAGGCUGAAGGAGUGGGAGGUUGAAGGUUAAGUUGAUUACCCGUGGCCAAGGAUGUAAUCAUUCAUGCCUCCAUAAUAAAGUCUUCAUAAAAAUGCAAAAGGACAGAGUAUGGAGAAGCUUCCAGGUAGUUGAACAUGUGGAGGUUACUGGAGAGCAGUGUUCCUCGCGAGGGCAUGCAGGCCCAAUGGAAGAGUUGGUGGUUUCUACAAUAGCAGCCUGCAAGUCCCUGAAAAGUGACUUCAGCAAUGACUAUCAAUAUGACUCCCACACCGGGGGACUUUUUAGGUUUUUGUCACUGUGACCAAAAUACCUGGUAAGAACAACUUAGAGGAGGAAAAGUUUGUCUUGACUCACAGUUUGAGACUUCCUGGUCAGCAGAGAGAGGGGAGAGGGAAAGGGCCACAGGGAAGAUGCAUCCCUCCAGGGACAUCCCCAGGGGCACACCUCCUGCAGUCAUGCCCCGUCUGCCUAGUUAUCUCCUCGUCAGUCCUAUUGGAACUGGGAUGGACUGAGUAGGCUACAGCUCUCAAUCUACUUGUUCUACCUUCCUGUGUUAACACAAGAGCUUUUGAGGGACACCUCAUAUCCAAACUACAGCCGAACUCAGUUGAAGGCUAAUAACAUCACUCAGCUGUGCCACCUCCAAAUUUAGUGAUUUUUAAAGUGAACUAAAAGUUGGUAACUAAAAGCAAGUGAAGCUGGAGAGUUUAUUUGGGGUUCUCUUGGUUCCAAGCCUGCACAGCCUCUCUUUUCUUAGUGAUUUUUCAAUCCCAGAGAAAGGGGCAAGUCUGGGAUCUAUCCCAGACUGAACACUUGAAAAUGCACAAAGAGUGAUCCCUAAAUCUUCAAGAGACAUAAUCUCUAAGUAGAUUUUAAUGUGAACAAGAAAUCAAAUCAUUUAUAUCAAAUAUAAUUGAUAAUUGGCUGAUAAAAAAAAUAGUUGCAAUAAACUAAAAACGAGUGUGGAUAAAUGAAAUUGGUAUACCAUGUGAUGUAUUUUUAUUUUUAAACUUUUUGAUUGUUGAGAUUGAACCCAGGGACACUUAACCACUGAGCCACGUCCCCAGCCCUUUUCAUUUUUUAAAAUUUUGAGACAGGGUCUUGCUAAGUUGCUUAGAGCCUCACUAGGUUGUUGAUGCUGGCUUUGAACUUGGAAUCCUCCUGUCUCAGCCUCCCAAGUGGCUGGGAUUACAGGUGUGGGCCACUCUGCCUGGCUUAAAUUUCUAUUUUCAAAACACUGAAGGGCAUGGAGAAAUGCUCAUAAUGAAUUAUCAAGGUAACUGGACUAUCAGAUUAUCCAAGUUUUGUAAAACUGUCUAAAUUUAGUUGAACAUCUAGAGAUGUAUGGGGUGAUAAUUUUUAAAUUAUCUAAAAUUCUGUAUGCACAAGAAUUCCAUCCAUAUGUUUUGGUGUGUUGUCCUUUUGUCUUUAAAGUGGCUGUAAGUACUUUGUUCCCCUUGCCAUACUGUUCCUGUGAGACAGAAACCUCAUCUCUAUUUAUGCCCUGGAACCCAGGUCCUGACUCUGGUGACCUAAGAAUAUUUCUUGAAGUACUGCACUUGAAAAAAAAGGCUCCUCUUUGUCAUAAUUUGAAGUGACAAAACAGUGAUAUCAAGAUGACACCACCAAAGCAUUGAUCUUACAGAAUUUGGGUUUGAUGUGACAGCAAGCCUCUUAAGAAGUCUCCCUUUUUGCAGACAAAUCACCUAGCUCCGCAGCUCUUGUGUCAUUUUCUAUGUGACCACCAAGGGGCAGUGCCUGACUGUUGCUUCCAUGACACUGCCUAUUGCAGAAGGUUUGCAAGUUUUGCCCUCUACAGAACACGUUUAAUAAUGGUAGUUAAUUUGUUUAAUAAACAUUAAUUUGCUUUUAUUCUUCAUUACAAUUUGGACGCUGAUGAAAAUUCUCCACAAGAAACAAACACAUGAGGGCUGGGGAUAUGGCUCAAGCGGUAGUGCGCACUCCUGGCAUGCGUGCGGCCCGGGUUGGAUCCUCAGCACCAUAUACAAACAAAGAUGUUGUGUCCGCCGAUAACUAAAAAAUAAAUAUUAAAAAUUCUCUCUCUCUCUCUCUCUCUCUCUCUCUCUCUCUCUUAAAAAAAAC
This 7269-nucleotide long non-coding RNA is filed under the name Marmota monax (woodchuck). Lineage: Eukaryota; Metazoa; Chordata; Mammalia; Rodentia; Sciuridae. The record is from RNAcentral.